RNAcentral lists this ribosomal RNA (171 nucleotides) under uncultured bacterium. Its description in RNAcentral is "partial 16S ribosomal RNA". It matches the Rfam family "Bacterial small subunit ribosomal RNA", at positions 338 to 524 of the family's 1533-position model. The record is from RNAcentral.
CCUACGGGAGGCAGCAGCCGCGGUAUAUUGCGCAAUGGAGGAAACUCUGACGCAGUAACGCCGCGUGGGGGAAGAAGACCUUCGGGUUGUAAACCUCUUUUUGUAGAGACGAGUGAGGACGGUAUCUAUAGAAUAAGUCUCGGCUAACUACGUGCCAGCAGCCGCGCUAAU